Triticum aestivum (bread wheat) is the source of this 139-nucleotide non-coding RNA. Lineage: Eukaryota; Viridiplantae; Streptophyta; Magnoliopsida; Poales; Poaceae. The record is from Rfam.
CCCCUCCGUGAUGAGGAGUUUACUUCUUUUAUUCUCAAUGGCCUUGAUGAGGACUAUGACUCUCUUGUUGAAAACAUCAACGGACGUGACACGCCGAUGCCGCCUCGUGACCUCUAUGCCCGCCUCCUCAGCACGGAGC